GCACUCUUAAGGAAUAGAAAGAAUUAUAAUNGGUUUUCUAAACCGAGGGUCGNAGGUUCGAAUCCUNCAGGGCGCGCCA
RNAcentral lists this transfer RNA (79 nucleotides) under Flavobacteriales bacterium TMED228. Its description in RNAcentral is "tRNA-Arg". It matches the Rfam family "tRNA". Rfam says of the family: Transfer RNA (tRNA) molecules are approximately 80 nucleotides in length. Their secondary structure includes four short double-helical elements and three loops (D, anti-codon, and T loops). Lineage: Bacteria; Pseudomonadati; Bacteroidota; Flavobacteriia; Flavobacteriales. The record is from RNAcentral.